UUUUCCGUGUUCAAAGAGUUCCGUUUCCCUACGGUUAUUAAAAUGAUAGUGAUCGAAAAAAGAAAGUCCUGGAAACGUUUGGCAAUAGUUCACUGGAUCACUACCCGGGGUAAACUGUUCAUCAUCUGGCUCGCCUAUGCGCCGUUUCCACUUGCUCUGCAGUUUCAAGUGGCUCAAUUCCCAGAUUUUGCAGCGAUUUUUUAUGUGCCACGAUUUCAGCGCCGAGGAGGAUUUCUGUAUGGCAGUUCCUGCAUUCCCGGUUCAAACACAUCGUUUUCGGAAGACUGUGUAUGGGACAAAUCCCUGGGGAGAAAGGAAUCGACACAAUGGAAUUAAAACGAUCCUAGUAAGGAGUGCUUGAUCCGGAUUUGAAAAGAGAAGAUUUGGGAGCUCCUCAAAGUGAAAGUUAUCCUAUUACGUCCUGGAUGUUUCCGGAAGGAUUUCUCUGGAUUUUGUUGAUGAACAUGUCUGAUACAUCGGGGAAGCCUCAAGAACGCGAUGAUGGAGGAAAACUUCCCGAUAUGAAACGUAAGG
Long non-coding RNA from Uranotaenia lowii, 534 nucleotides. RefSeq lists it as uncharacterized. The transcript has 3 exons. Lineage: Eukaryota; Metazoa; Arthropoda; Insecta; Diptera; Culicidae. The record is from RefSeq and is a predicted model, not a curated record.